Molecule: small RNA, 1061 nt
Filed under: Tannerella forsythia 3313
Lineage: Bacteria; Pseudomonadati; Bacteroidota; Bacteroidia; Bacteroidales; Tannerellaceae
Description: Acido-Lenti-1 RNA
Rfam family: Acido-Lenti-1 RNA (bases 950-996)
Source: RNAcentral
CAUUAAUGGUUAAUUGUCAAUUGUUAAUGGUUAUGCCGGGUACACGGAAUCCGAACGCCGCCCUUUGUCAUUCCGAACGUAGUGAGGAAUCCCGUGGGGAAGAGGAAAGAGGUUCUUCGCUUACGCUCUGAAUGACAAAUUAAUGGUUAAUUGUCAAUGGUUAAUUGUUAUGCGUGGUUAUCCGAACGCAAAUUUCGCAAAUGACGCGAAUCAACGCAAAUAACCGCGUUUGUCAUUCCGAACGCCACCCUUUGUCAUUCCGAACGCAGUGAGGAAUCUCGCGGGGAAGAGGAAAGAGAUUCUUCGCUUCGCUCUGAAUGACAAUUUAAUUGUUAAUUGUUAUGCGUGGUACACGCCGAAUCAUGUAUUUAGAAAAUAACCAUUGACCAUUCAUUUCGGCGUUCGUCCAUGGGCCUCGGGCGGUGAGCCGACGGAGCAGCGAGCAGGGCGAAAGAAAAUCAGGCUGUCCGAAGCGAAGCGAGUUACCUGAUUUUCCGACCUGCAAGCGUCGCGAAGGCGUGUGAAGCGCCCGAAGCCUUGACCUUUUGGUUACUUUUGGGUCAAGCCAAAAGUAACGGAAAGAGCGCUCUGAAUGACAAAAGACCGAACGCAGAGGCGUUCGGAUGUGUCCAUUCGCGAAAUUCGCGUUCGUACAAACAGCAAAAUUGAGUAAUUUACUCAUUGCGUAACUUGGAGAGGCUGUUGUAUCUUUGUACCGUUAAGAACAAUAAACAAGAACGGUCAUAAAACAAAGAGGCAGACAAACGCAGCCGAUAACACCUCGAACAAGCGUGUUCGAGAAGACAUUAACAGUUAAAUGACAUAGAAUAUGCGCCGGGCGUAUACAUGCUUAUGGGGAUGCCCCAUACGUGCUUAUGGGGGCGGCGCAUACGUACCUGUCAAAUUAUGUCAGGCUUUCAGCCCUCCCAACGGGGUCGGGGAAUCGAUACCCCACCCUUACGGGAUGGGGCUGAAAUAUACCGGGCUUUCAGCCCUUGGGCCUCGGGCGAGCUAACCCCUUCGGGGCGUUGAGGUGUUGAGGUGUUCGAUUGUUGAUCUGU